Molecule: ribosomal RNA, 274 nt
Filed under: uncultured bacterium
Lineage: Bacteria
Description: partial 16S ribosomal RNA
Rfam family: Bacterial small subunit ribosomal RNA
Source: RNAcentral
AUACGGAGGGUGCAAGCGUUGUUCGGAAUUACUGGGCGUAAAGCGCGUGCAGGCGGUAAGGUAAGUCAGAUGUGAAAGCCCCGGGCUCAACCCGGGAAGUGCAUUUGAUACUGCCUUUCUUGAGUAUGGGAGAGGAGAGUGGUAUUCCCAGUGUAGAGGUGAAAUUCGUAGAUAUUGGGAGGAACACCCGUGGCGAAGGCGACUCUCUGGACCAAUACUGACGCUGAGACGCGAAAGCGUGGGGAGCGAACAGGAUUAGAAACCCCAGUAGUCC